RNAcentral lists this ribosomal RNA (941 nucleotides) under Ephemerocybe sassii. RNAcentral describes it as "LSU rRNA". It matches the Rfam family "Eukaryotic large subunit ribosomal RNA", at positions 38 to 965 of the family's 3401-position model. The record is from RNAcentral. Lineage: Eukaryota; Fungi; Basidiomycota; Agaricomycetes; Agaricales; Psathyrellaceae.
GCAUAUCAAUAAGCGGAGGAAAAGAAACUAACAAGGAUUCCCCUAGUAACUGCGAGUGAAGCGGGAAAAGCUCAAAUUUAAAAUCUGGUGGUCUUCGGCCAUCCGAGUUGUAAUCUAGAGAAGUGUUACCCGCGUCGGACCGUGUACAAGUCUCCUGGAAUGGAGCGUCAUAGAGGGUGAGAAUCCCGUCUUUGACACGGACUACCGAGGCUUUGUGGUGCGCUCUCAAAGAGUCGAGUUGUUUGGGAAUGCAGCUCAAAAUGGGUGGUAAAUUCCAUCUAAAGCUAAAUAUUGGCGAGAGACCGAUAGCGAACAAGUACCGUGAGGGAAAGAUGAAAAGAACUUUGGAAAGAGAGUUAAACAGUACGUGAAAUUGCUGAAAGGGAAACGCUUGAAGUCAGUCGCGUUGGCCGGAAAUCAGCCUUCCUUUUGGUUGGUGUACUUUCUGGUUGACGGGCCAGCAUCAGUUUUGACCGGUGGAUAAAGUUGUGAGGAAUGUGGCAUCUUCGGGUGUGUUAUAGCCUCGCUUCGUAUACAUCGGUUGGGACUGAGGAACUCAGCACGCCGAAAGGCCGGGGUUCGCCCACGUUCGUGCUUAGGAUGCUGGCAUAAUGGCUUUAAUCGACCCGUCUUGAAACACGGACCAAGGAGUCUAACAUGCCUGCGAGUGUUUGGGUGGAAAACCCGAGCGCGUAAUGAAAGUGAAAGUCGAGAUCCUUGUCAUGGGGAGCAUCGACGCCCGGACCAGAAGUUUACGGACGGCCCUGCGGUAGAGCAUGUAUGUUGGGACCCGAAAGAUGGUGAACUAUGCCUGAAUAGGGUGAAGCCAGAGGAAACUCUGGUGGAGGCUCGUAGCGAUUCUGACGUGCAAAUCGAUCGUCAAAUUUGGGUAUAGGGGGCGAAAGACUAAUCGAACCAUCUAGUAGCUGGUUCCUGCCGAA